GACGAACGCUGGCGGCGUGCUUAACACAUGCAAGUCGAACGGAAAGGCCCUGCUUUUGUGGGGUGCUCGAGUGGCGAACGGGUGAGUAACACGUGAGUAACCUGCCCUUGACUUUGGGAUAACUUCAGGAAACUGGGGCUAAUACCGGAUAGGAGCUCCUGCUGCAUGGUGGGGGUUGGAAAGUUUCGGCGGUUGGGGAUGGACUCGCGGCUUAUCAGCUUGUUGGUGGGGUAGUGGCUUACCAAGGCUUUGACGGGUAGCCGGCCUGAGAGGGUGACCGGCCACAUUGGGACUGAGAUACGGCGCAGACGCCAACGGGAGGCAGCGGUGGGGAAUAUUGCACAAUGGGCGGAAGCCUGAUGCAGCAACGCCGCGUGCGGAAUGACGGCCUUCGGGUUGUAAACCGCUUUCGCCUGUGACGAAGCGUGAGUGACGGUAAUGGGUAAAGAAGCACCGGCUAACUACGUG
Molecule: ribosomal RNA, 468 nt
Filed under: uncultured bacterium
Lineage: Bacteria
Description: partial 16S ribosomal RNA
Rfam family: Bacterial small subunit ribosomal RNA
Source: RNAcentral